AGCAGCCGCGGUAAUUCCAGCUCCAAUAGCGUAUAUUAAAGUUGUUGCAGUUAAAAAGCUCGUAGUUGAAUUUCGGGGUUAGUAGAUUGGUCAUGCCUCUGGUAUGCACUGGUCUUACUGAUUCCUCCUUCCUGAUGAACCGUAAUGCCAUUAAUUUGGUGUUGCGGGGAAACUGGACUGUUACUUUGAAAAAUUGAGUGUUUAAAGCAGGCUAACGCUUGAAUACAUUAGCAUGGAAUAAUGAAAUAGGACGUUCGAUCUUAUUUUGUUGGUUUCUAGGAUUGACGUAAUGAUUAAUAGGGAUAGUCGGGGGCAUUAGUAUUCAAUUGUCAGAGGUGAAAUUCUUGGAUUUAUUGAAGACUAACUACUGCGAAAGCAUUUGCCAAGGAUGUUUUCAUUAAUCAAGAACGAAAGUUAGGGGAUCGAAGACGAUCAGAUACCGUCGUAGUCUUAACCAUAAACUAUGCCGACUAGGGAUCAGAUGAUGUUAAUUUUUAAUGUACUCAUUCGGCUACCG
This 517-nucleotide ribosomal RNA is filed under the name uncultured Glomeromycotina. RNAcentral describes it as "SSU rRNA". It matches the Rfam family "Eukaryotic small subunit ribosomal RNA", at positions 569 to 1089 of the family's 1831-position model. Lineage: Eukaryota; Fungi; Glomeromycota. The record is from RNAcentral.